Molecule: ribosomal RNA, 253 nt
Filed under: uncultured bacterium
Lineage: Bacteria
Description: partial 16S ribosomal RNA
Rfam family: Bacterial small subunit ribosomal RNA
Source: RNAcentral
UACGUAGGCAGCGAGCGUUGUUCGGAGUUACUGGGCGUAAAGGGUGUGUAGGCGGUUUUCUAAGUUUGGUGGGAAAUCUCCCGGCUCAACCGGGAGGGUGCGCCGAAAACUGGGAGACUAGAGUGCGGGAUGGGAGAGUAGAAUUCCUGGUGUAGCGGUGAAAUGCGUAGAUAUCAGGAGGAAUACCGGUGGUGUAGACGGCUCUCUGGACCGCAACUGACGCUGAGACACGAAAGCGUGGGUAGCAAACAGG